CCUACGGGUGGCAGCAGUGGGGGAUAUUGCACAAUGGGGGGAACCCUGAUGCAGCGACGCCGCGUGGGUGAAGGAGCGUUUCGGCGCGUAAAGCCCUUUUGGCAUGGAAGAAGAUGACGGUACCUGACGAAGAAGCCCCGGCUAACUACGUGCCAGGAGCCGCGGUAAUACGUAGGGGGCAAGCGUUAUCCGGAUUUACUGGGUGUAAAGGGGGCGUAGACGGGAAGGCAAGCCAGGAGUGAAAGCCCAGGGUCCAACCCCGGGACUGCUCUUGAAACUGCAUGGCUGGAGUACGGGAGGGGCAGGCGGAAUUCGUAGUGUAGCGGUGAAAUGCGUAGAUAUUAGGAGGAACACCGGUGGCGAAGGCGGCCUGCUGGACUGUGACUGACGUUGAGGCCCGAAGGCGUGGGGAGCAAACAGGAUUAGAUACCCCUGUAGUC
Molecule: ribosomal RNA, 440 nt
Filed under: uncultured bacterium
Lineage: Bacteria
Description: partial 16S ribosomal RNA
Rfam family: Bacterial small subunit ribosomal RNA
Source: RNAcentral